AUUGGAAAUCUUUCCUUCCUCAUAAGCAUCCAAACCCAAUCUUUUGGUUUGAAAGUAACUCGCUUUCUUUCUUUCUUUAUUAGCUUAGGUUGCACAUCUCUUAUUCUGCUUCUCAAUGUGCUGUUUAACUUGUUCAUGGAUCUUUUAACCAACUCAACCUUCUUCUUUCUAUCUAAAUUUGAAAUCUCAUGCACAGGCAAAG
RNAcentral lists this unclassified non-coding RNA (202 nucleotides) under Hevea brasiliensis (rubber tree). Lineage: Eukaryota; Viridiplantae; Streptophyta; Magnoliopsida; Malpighiales; Euphorbiaceae. The record is from RNAcentral.